Molecule: ribosomal RNA, 479 nt
Filed under: uncultured bacterium
Lineage: Bacteria
Description: partial 16S ribosomal RNA
Rfam family: Bacterial small subunit ribosomal RNA
Source: RNAcentral
GACGAACGCUGGCGGCGUGCUUAACACAUGCAAGUCGAGCGAUGAAGCACCUUCGGGUGUGAAUUAGCGGCGAGCGGGUGAGGAACACGUGAGAAAUCUGCCUUCAACACUGGGAUAACUCCGGGAAACCGGGGCUAAUACCGGAUAUGAAACCUGCGGGCAUCCGCGGGUUUGGAAAGUUUUUCGGUUGAAGAUGAUCUCGCGGCCUAUCAGCUUGUUGGUGAGGUAAUGGCUCACCAAGGCGACGACGGGUAGCCGGCCUGAGAGGGCGACCGGCCACACUGGGACGGAGACACGGCCCAGACUCCUACGGGAGGCAGCAGUGGGGAAUAUUGGGCAAUGGAGGAAACUCUGACCCAGCGACGCCGCGUGCGGGAUGAAGGCCUUCGGGUUGUAAACCGCUUUCAGCAGGGAAGAAGCGAAAGUGACGGUACCUGCAGAAGAAGCACCGGCUAACUAUGUGCCAGCCGCCGCAGUAA